This 5879-nucleotide long non-coding RNA is filed under the name Manihot esculenta (cassava). RNAcentral's name for it is "long non-coding RNA (MESC_LNC006722)". Lineage: Eukaryota; Viridiplantae; Streptophyta; Magnoliopsida; Malpighiales; Euphorbiaceae. The record is from RNAcentral.
AAUCCACUAAUUUCUUAAUAUAAACUAAUAUAUUAAUUGCCACUUGUUAUUAACCCAAUUAAACAAUUACGGAUUUAAUUAGAUUAAUUAGCAAUAUGUUGUCUUCCCAAGAGAUUCAAUGGGCCCCUUGAAUUCUCAAGAAAACAACAAUGGAGGUGGUGUUCCUCGAAUUCAGAAAUUAAUAGAAAAUAGAAAAUAAGAUGAAGAGAAUUAAAGUACAUAACCUCACAACUUGAAUAAACCUCAAUUUAAUUUAACCUUCAACUGAAAAAUAAAUGUUUAGCCACUCAUGGCCAUAAUAAAAUUAUAACAACUAAGUAAAAGAAAAAGAAAAGAAGAUGGAGAAGAAGGUGGAGAACAGUAAGAGAGGAAAUGAGAGUGAGAGGUAGAACGUGUUUUUUCUAGGUUGAAUGCUAGGAGCCUUUAUAUAGGCACAAAAAGAUAAAACUUAAAAUAAAAACUAUUAUCCCUAUCUUAUCUCUAUCUUCAUCUUAUCUCUAUCUUCAUCUUAUCUCUAUCCUCAUCCGAUUGAGUUUGAUUCAAAUUAACUCCACUCGAAGCUGAUACUAUCUUUGCUUAGGUGGCAAAAUCUAUCUUAUCUCCCCAUCGCCUCCCAAUAUAAAAAUCCUUUAAUUUCGCUUUUUUUUCUUCCUUUUUUCAACUUUUGCUAACAACCCUGUACAAAAUUAAAUUCAAAUUAAAAUUAAAUAUUUACAUAAAAAUUACAGUAAAAUCAAGAAAUUAAAUGAGGAAAAAAAAUUGUGAGUUUUGCAACUCAUCAGAUUCCCCCACACUUGCACCUUUGCUUAUCCUCAAGCACAAAAAUUGAAAUGAAACAAUGAAAUACAGCCCUGUCCUCAACCAAUCUGAAAUUUAAUUUGUCCAAAGCAAAGAACCAAAUUGUCAUGCAAUAGGAUGAUAGCAGAAAUAGCUUAACUCACCAAAGUUCACUUCAAUAAGUUUCAUAUUUAAAACAUGUUUCUCAACUCAUAAAGUUGGUCCUCAAUUCUAUUUCAAGCACAUAAAAUAUUAGAAUGCCAUAUAAUAUUAAACUGCCCUUUUAAAAGAAUAGAAUCUUAGAACUCUUGACUAGACCAAUAAAAUUUAAAGAUUUGGGGGUUUAUUAUUUAUUUUUUACACUUCCUACUAUAUCUUGCCUGAAACCGAUAAAGUGAACGUGAAACAAAUGGUUACUGAGCCACUUGCCCCAGGUUAUUCAGCUCAGGUGGCUACUAGCUCCACUCAUAAUUACCCAAUAAAAAGGUAUGGGCGAGUUUUUUAAACGGCCCAAAAGGGGUGAUACUCUCCCAAACACCGAUUUCUCCAUACAGAAUUACCUUAAGGGGUCACCAAGUACCGCACUACUUGGGCCAUCGGGUUGGUAACCAAUUGAUCAAGCAACUAGAGGAAUGAGUCAUAGGAGUGCAUUUAUUUUUUAUUUUUAUUUUUCUUUUUUCUUUUUUUUUUAUUAUUUUUUUUUUGCGACACCCCUUAAUUUCCACAUAAAUAUAUAGUCUAGAAAAUAUCCUUUAAUUCAUUCUCAAUAAAGGGCAGCAACUCAUUUAAAAGAAUAUGCAUUUUUUUACCCAACUAUUUAAAUAAGGACCAUACUUCAUGAUAUUUCAAAACAAGCCUUAAAAAUAAAACUAAUAAAAUGAACAAUGAUAAAUUUAUUCUAUUUAAGCUAGCAUGCAAAUGACAUAAAAACUUAGAUUCUACGAUAGAGGACAUAUCAAUUUCUCAUGGUAAGAAUGGGGCUGUAAAAAUUUUUUAUUUUUUAUUUUUUAUUUUUUUGAAUAAAAUGAUGCUUAAUAUUGGAAAUUCUAAAAAUUAAAAAUGAGAAACAAUUUAAAGUGCAAGUGCUGAGAAUCAAAAUAACAAAAGUUUUUAUAGGCUUGGGCAAGCCUCUACCUCAAACACCAAAAACUCAAAGAAAAAUGGCAGAAAAAGAAAUAAAAAUUCUCAAAAAUUUCCAAAAAUUUCAGAAUGUUCAUCAAUCAUCAAUCACAAAAAAAAAAAACUUCAAUUUCCAUACCACAUCUCCCCCCACACUUACUCCUUACAUUGUCCUCAAUGUGGAAAAAAUUCAAUCAAACGGGGAAGUCCACAAAAUAAAAUAAAAGUAAGUUAAAAAAAACUUCCCUGAGGAGUAAGUCCAUAGAACUCAAGUUGGUGGUGGGUUUCAUUUUUCGGUCUUGGAGUUGCUUCAAAAUCUCAUGUUUCAUCUCCUCAUCAUCAUAACUCAUCACGUCUGCAAACGCUGGUGUGUGGUUGCAUCCGGCGAGGAAGUGGAUGGCAGCGGAGGCGGCGCUGACGAUCUUCAAAAAGGUUUCCUAAAGUCCCGAAUUGCCUAGAAAAUCCAAUCUGCUCCAAAAAUAACAAAUAAAUUAAUUUAAAACUAAAACCUAAAAGGAAAACUUACUUGUGACUCUACAGGCUUGCGCAAGCCUGUAACCCUGGGUUGCCUCCCAAGUAGCGCCCUUGUUUAUUGUCCUAGGCUGGACAGUGGCAUGUUAUGUUUCAUCCACUUCCCUCUUCAUAUUCAUUCAACACCCAAAUUAACUUCAUUGCUUUUAAAGGAUUCAACUUGGAGGAGAUUAUGAUUGAAAAUGUGUUAUUACUUUCCAAAAAUAAAUAUUUCAAAUGAGCUGAAAGUAAUUUUAACUCAAGUUCUGGUGCCUUAUGAUUCAAAGUGUCCAAUGAGUGGUUUAUUUCUAUGAUUUCUUCACUGAAUUGCGAUGUCCUAUUGUCAAGGCAGCCCAUUGUCAAGUUUUCGAUUAAAACUACCUCCAACUUGUUUUUCUUGCUUAGUUCAAAGGCUUCUUGAGCGAGAGGAUCAAUUAUAUCUAUGCUGCAAAGAGAAAAAUUAUCAUCAGAAUGUUUCAUUGCAUCAUAAACAUUAAACUUUAGCUCUUCUCCAUCAAACUCCAUUGAAAGUGUGCCUUCAUGUACGUCGAUCUUCGUUCUAGCUGUGCUGAGGAAUGGUCUUCCUAGCAAUAAAUCUGUAGAGUGGGAUGAAUUGUUAUCUUCCAUAUCCAAGACAAAAAAGUCAGCUGGAAAAAUUAAUCUUCCCACUUGAACCAAAACAUCUUCCAACACGCCCUUAGGAUAAACUAUUGAUCUAUCGGCGAGUUGGAGUGUAACUCCUGUUUGUUUCAAAGGACCUGCAUCCAAAGACAAAUAAACUGACAGAGGCAUAACAUUUAUGGAAGCUCCUAAAUCACACAUUGCCUUCUUGAUUUCAAGGUUUCCAACUUUACAUGAUAUCGCAAACAUGCCUUUGUCUUUACAUUUUUGUGCAAUUUUUCUUUGGAGUACAGCUGAUACAUUUUCUCUUACUUUAAUAUUUUCGUACCCAUACAAUUUUCUUUUAUUAGUGCAAAGGUCUUUUAAAAAUUUCGCGUACCUGGGUAUUUGCUUUAUGGUUUCAAGAAGGGGUAUGUUUACCUGGACUUUGCGAAAAAUCUCCAAGAUGUCUUUCUCUUCCUUUUCUCUUUUUGAUUGAGAAAAUCUUUCGGGAAAAGGUGGAUGUAUUACCUGUAUUGGAGAUUGUUCUUCCUCAGAUUUCUGGGGUUCUUUCUCUUCUAGAAUCUCUAUUUCUGCUUCUGUCUUCUGGUCUGCCUUACUGCCUUGGGCAAGCUUCUUCGGGCUGGCAAAUUCUAACUCCUUCCCACUUCGCAGCAUAAUUGCGCUUACGUUCUGUUUUGGAUUUGGUAUGGUUUGAGAGGGUAGUUUCCCUUGAGAUUCUAGUUUGCUCACUGAUGUAGCAAGUUGGCUCAUUUGAUUCUCCAAAUUCUGAAUGCUUGACUUUGUUUCCUGUUGAAAAGCAAGAGUGCUAUUAGCAAGGGAUUGAACAAUGUCUUCUAGAGACAUACCUGAUUUUGCAGCUUGAUAGUUGGUUCUUGGUUGGUAGUUCUGCGGUCUAUUCCCAUAGCUAAGGUUUGGAUGAUCUCUCCACCCCGGAUUGUAAGUGCUUGAAAAUGGGUCAUACUUCCUUUGUUGUCCAUUGAAUUGUUGUCCAUUGAACCCUCCAAUGGCGUUUACCUGUUGCUCUCCUUCUUGAAGGAUAGGACACAUAUCUGUGGGAUGAUCUGCUUGUUUGCAAAUGCCACAAGUUCUUGCAUUAUUCCCUGUAGCCAAUUGUUGAAUUGCAGCUGUUAGUUGUGAAAUUUUAGAAUCUAAAGAUGCAAUACUUACUUCAUUGGCAUUUCUUGAAAUGUCCUCUUCUUGGCCAUACUGUCUAGAGUUGGCAGCUAAUUUGGAGAUUAAAGUUUUACCUUUUUCAGGUUCCAUUUCUGCAAUGGCUCCUCCACUAGCAGCAUCUAUUAUUCUUUGUUCUAAUGGCAAAAGUCCUUCGUAAAAGUGAAGAUUAAGUUGUUUUGGAGUGAUUCCAUGUUUUGGACAACUUGCAAUUAAUUUCUUAUACCUUUCCCAAUAUUUAUGUAAAGUUUCAUUUUUUCUUUGUUUAAUUCCACUUAUUUCCUUUCUUAUUGAUGAUGCUUUGGUCGCUGUGAAAAAUCUUUCUAAGAAUAAGUCUCUAAUUUGCGCCCAAGUGGUGAUUGAACCUGGGGGCAAAUAGUAGAGCCAAUCCUUAGCAGAUUCAAUUAAAGUGAAAGGGAAAGCUACCAACCUUAUUUGUUCGUCAGUUAUACCUUGUGGUCUCAUACUUGAACAGACCACAUAAAACUCCUUUAGAUGACGAUGAGGGUCUUCAUUCUCCAAGCCUUGGAAUUUUGGUAACAUAUGAAUCAUACCUGUUCGUAAUUCCAAUGGACCAUUCAGUAUUGGGUAUGUGAUGCAAAGGGGUUGCUCUUCAGUGGCAGCAGCUGCAGCCAUAUUGUCUCUUUGGUUUGUAUCAAUUAGUGGCUCAGUUAGUGUUGAAGAUGAGGUCUCUUCGGUGCGCAAAGGGGAUUGGGCAGAUGGUUGAGAGGCUCCCGAAUUGGCCUUUUUUUGCAACUUGGUUGCUUUUCUCAACCUUUUUGCAGUCUUCUCAAUUUCUGGAUCAAACUGAAUCCUGCUAUUCUCAGAUCUGGUCAUAAAAACAAAAACAAAUUGUUAGAGGUCCCCGGCAACGGCGCCAAAAUUUGACGGGUGCCGAAUCCGUCAAUUUAAAAUUUACUUCCCUUCUCUUGAUUGUUAAGAACUUGAAGAUAGGGUGAGUGAGUAUCGAUCCCACAGAGACCUCAAAUCUGCUUAAUUUAAAUGACCAAAUUGAAAUAGAGAAAUAGUUUAAUGAAAAAGUGAGAAAAAGAGAUUUUUCUUUUUUAUGAAAAUGGUUGUGCCUUGGGCAAGCCAAUAAAAAUAAACUUAAGAGAAAAUAAAUAAAUAAUGUAAUUGAAAAUUUAGAAACAACUAAUUAAUUAAAACUUUCAGCUGAAGGUAAUCAAAUUGAGUUAUUUUGCAGUUGAUCAUUGAUUAAAAAAAAUAAUUCAUUUUAUUAUCUAUUGUUUGGUUAUAGUGGUCAAACACGCGAAUCCCACCAAUUCUUCCUUAUGAAUAAAUUAAUCCGCUUCGCACUUAAAUUAAUUCCUAGUCAACUAAUAACCCCAACAAGCGUGUAGAUUUAAUUAGUCAACGGCUUUAAGAGAGAAGAACUCAAACUUGAUUAAUAAAAACACGCGUUUUAUUUAAAUCAAAUCAACUAAUUUCUUAAUAUAAACUAAUAUAUUAAUUGCCACUUGUUAUUAACCCAAUUAAACAAUUACGGAUUUAAUUAGAUUAAUUAGCAAUAUGUUGUCUUCCCAAGAGAUUCAAUAGGCCUCUUGAAUUCUCAAGAAAACAACAAUGGAGGUGGUAUUCCUCGAAUUCAGAAAUUAAUAGAAAAUAGAAAAUAAGAUGAAGAGAAUUAAAGUACAUAACCUCACAACUUGAACAAACCU